Molecule: transfer RNA, 74 nt
Organism: Bifidobacterium reuteri DSM 23975
Lineage: Bacteria; Bacillati; Actinomycetota; Actinomycetes; Bifidobacteriales; Bifidobacteriaceae
Rfam family: tRNA
About the family: Transfer RNA (tRNA) molecules are approximately 80 nucleotides in length. Their secondary structure includes four short double-helical elements and three loops (D, anti-codon, and T loops).
Source: Rfam
GGGCAAUUAGCUCAGUUGGUUAGAGCGCCACCUUUACACGGUGGAUGUCGGGGGUUCGAGUCCCUCAUUGCCCA